AACGAACGCUGGCGGCAUGCCUAACACAUGCAAGUCGAACGCUAUCUUUGAUAGAGUGGCGCACGGGUGAGUAACGCGUGGGAACCUGCCUUUCACUGCGGGACAACGAUUGGAAACGAUCGCUAAUACCGCAUACGCCCUACGGGGGAAAGAUUUAUCGGUGAUAGAGGGGCCCGCGUCUGAUUAGCUUGUUGGUAGGGUAAUGGCCUACCAAGGCGACGAUCGGUAGCUGGUCUGAGAGGAUGAUCAGCCACACUGGGACUGAGACACGGCCCAGACUCCUACGGGAGGCAGCAGUGGGGAAUAUUGGACAAUGGGGGCAACCCUGAUCCAGCAAUGCCGCGUGUGUGAUGAAGGCCUUAGGGUUGUAAAGCACUUUCACUGGUGAAGAUGAUGACGGUAACCAGAGAAGAAGCCCCGGCUAACUUCG
RNAcentral lists this ribosomal RNA (430 nucleotides) under uncultured Alphaproteobacteria bacterium. RNAcentral describes it as "bacterial SSU rRNA". It matches the Rfam family "Bacterial small subunit ribosomal RNA", at positions 29 to 505 of the family's 1533-position model. Lineage: Bacteria; Pseudomonadati; Pseudomonadota; Alphaproteobacteria. The record is from RNAcentral.